UCGCCUGUUUACCAAAAACAUGGCUUCGCGUAGUGUCAAAAAUGCGAAGUCGGACCUGCCCAGUGAGUUUUUAAACGGCCGCGGUACUCUGACCGUGCAAAGGUAGCAUAAUCAUUUGCCUUAUAAUUGAAGGCUGGAAUGAAUGGUUUGACAAGAAUAUACCUGUCUCCUUUAGAUUAUUUAGAAUUUUAUCUUUGGAUGAAAAAGUCCAGAUUUAAUUAAUAGACAAGAAGACCCUAUCGAGCUUCAGAAAAAUUAAUAGAUUUAAGGUGAAUCAAUAUACUUAAAAGAAGGGCUAUUAAAAUACUUUGGUUGGGGCAACUGAGGAGCAGUUAAAGCCUCCUUUAGCUUAUUAAUUCUUACUAGUGUUGAUCCAAAGAUUUUGAUCAAAGGAAUUAGUUACCGUAGGGAUAACAGCAUUAUCUUUUUCAAGAGCCCAUAUCGAAAAAAAGGUUUGUGACCUCGAUGUUGGACCAGAAUAUCCUAAAGAUGCAGAAAUCUUUAAGGGUUGGUCUGUUCCGACCAUUAAAAUUCUAC
This 537-nucleotide ribosomal RNA is filed under the name Conus flavidus. RNAcentral describes it as "partial 16S ribosomal RNA". It matches the Rfam family "Bacterial large subunit ribosomal RNA", at positions 1796 to 2599 of the family's 2925-position model. Lineage: Eukaryota; Metazoa; Mollusca; Gastropoda; Neogastropoda; Conidae. The record is from RNAcentral.